UGAGAUGGAUAAACGAAGGUGUGGCUC
RNAcentral lists this non-coding RNA (27 nucleotides) under Mus musculus (house mouse). Lineage: Eukaryota; Metazoa; Chordata; Mammalia; Rodentia; Muridae. The record is from RNAcentral.